UAGGGAAUCUUCGGCAAUGGACGAAAGUCUGACCGAGCAACGCCGCGUGAGUGAAGAAGGUUUUCGGAUCGUAAAACUCUGUUGUUAGAGAAGAACAAGGACGUUAGUAACUGAACGUCCCCUGACGGUAUCUAACCAGAAAGCCACGGCUAACUACGUGCCAGCAGCCGCGGUAAUACGUAGGUGGCAAGCGUUGUCCGGAUUUAUUGGGCGUAAAGCGAGCGCAGGCGGUUUCUUAAGUCUGAUGUGAAAGCCCCCGGCUCAACCGGGGAGGGUCGUUGGAAACUGGGAGACUUGAGUGCAGAAGAGGAGAGUGGAAUUCCAUGUGUAGCGGUGAAAUGCGUAGAUAUAUGGGGGAACACCAGUGGCGAAGGCGGCUCUCUGGUCUGUAACUGACGCUGAGGCUCGAAAGCGUGGGGAGCAAACAGG
RNAcentral lists this ribosomal RNA (429 nucleotides) under Chloroflexota bacterium. RNAcentral describes it as "Chloroflexi bacterium partial 16S ribosomal RNA". It matches the Rfam family "Bacterial small subunit ribosomal RNA", at positions 355 to 776 of the family's 1533-position model. RNAcentral also lists the same sequence under 1 other name. The record is from RNAcentral. Lineage: Bacteria; Bacillati; Chloroflexota.